Long non-coding RNA from Chinchilla lanigera (long-tailed chinchilla), 433 nucleotides. RefSeq lists it as uncharacterized. Lineage: Eukaryota; Metazoa; Chordata; Mammalia; Rodentia; Chinchillidae. The transcript has 3 exons. The record is from RefSeq and is a predicted model, not a curated record.
UGUGCCCACAGGGAUCCUCAGGUGGAGAGCAUUGGCCAUGGCUCGGAAGGCUAGAGAGUCCCUCCUAAUUGCUGGGGGCCCUGAGAUAGUUUGUCAGCGACGCCCCAGGACUGCAGGAUUCUGAAGGAACAAUGAAGCCUUCAGACCUAGAAAAGGAAUCUAAGGAGGUUUGAGGAACAGAAGUUAAAGUUAACCUGAAGGCUGACAAAGGCCCCGGUCAAUUAGUCCAAACAAGAAUCAAUCAGAAAGAGCAGGCAGAAGCAACAUGGUGUGACCUCCAAGACGAGACAAAGGCAGCAAAUGCACGGAUGCCUGUCUUGCUCUGGGAACCUGGCCAGCUCACAGUGUCUACAGCAGCCUCCUGGUCUCCCAAGCUCCAGUCCAACCUCCCCACAGCAACCAGAACAACAGCCUCAAAAUGAGACGGGGUGGG